RNAcentral lists this long non-coding RNA (227 nucleotides) under Panax ginseng (ginseng). RNAcentral describes it as "long non-coding RNA (PGIN_LNC018121)". The record is from RNAcentral. Lineage: Eukaryota; Viridiplantae; Streptophyta; Magnoliopsida; Apiales; Araliaceae.
CAUGAUCUUACUUUGUUUUGUGGGCUACCUUUCUAACUCUUCCAAGGUAGGAGAUAAGUGUAGGGUGCAUGAAAUCUUGCUUCUCUUCUCUCUUCUCUCUUCUCUCUUCUCUCUUCUCUCCUCCUUGCCGUGACACCCUUGCUCUCUCUCACUCUCUUUUUCUUUUAACUUAGCAACUUGGAACUUGGAAGAGAAAAUUAUGAAAUGAAAGUAAGAGAAGUGAUAUA